GAAAGUAAGCAAGGGCGCAUGGCGGAUGCCUUGGCUCUCAGAGGCGAUGAAGGACGUGAUAAGCUGCGAUAAGCUGCGGUGAUUGGCAAAUACGAUUUGAUCCGCAGAUUUCCGAAUGGGGCAACCCGCCGGACUGACGGUCCGGCACACCUGCAUUAGGUGGGCUAACGUGGGGAACUGAAACAUCUUAGUACCCAUAGGAGAAGAAAAUAAUAAUGAUUCCCUUAGUAGUGGCGAUCGAACGGGGAGCAGCCCAAACCGUUAUUGUUUUGGCAAUAGCGGGGUUAUAGGAGUAUAUCUGAGCUAUAGUUUAGUCAACUGGAAGUGUCUGGAAAGUCACACCAUAGACAGUGAUAGUCUGGUACAGGUACGCUGGAGCUAUAGUGAUAUACCACCUGAGUAGCGCGGGACACGUGGAAUCUUGCGUGAAUUUGCGGGGACCAUCCCGUAAGGCUAAAUACUUCUGAGAGACCGAUAGUGUACUAGUACUGUGAAGGAAAGGUGCAAAGGACCUCGAACAGAGGAGUGAAAUAGUUCCUGAAACCAUGCGCUUACAAGCGGUCGGAGCCCUUUUUGUGGGGUGACGGCGUGCCUUUUGCAUAAUGAACCUACGAGUUACUGUUGUCGGCCAGGUUAAGGUGUUCAGCACCGUAUCCGGAGCGAAGGCGAGUCUUAAUAGGGCGUUUGAGUCGGCGGCAGUAGACGCGAAACCAAGUGAUCUACCCAUGGUCAGGCUGAAGUUUGGGUAACGCCAACUGGAGGGCCGAACCGCAAAACGUUGAAAAGUUUUCGGAUGAACUGUGGGUAGGGGUGAAAGGCUAAUCAAACUUGGAGAUAGCUCGUACUCCCCGAAAUGCAUUUAGGUGCAGCCUUGGGAGUUUCUUAUGAGAGGUAGAGCGACUGAUUGGAUGCGAGGGCUUCACCGCCUAUCAAGUCUUGAUAAACUCCGAAUGCUCAUAAGUUAUCCUGGGAGUGAGGGCAUGGGUGCUAAGGUCCGUGUCCGAGAGGGAAAGAACCCAGACCAUCAGCUAAGGUCCCCAAAUGAUACCUAAGUUAUAUGAACGAAGUCAGAUUGCACAGACAGCUAGGAUGUUGGCUUGGAAGCAGCCAUUCAUUUAAAGAGUGCGUAACAGCUCACUAGUCGAGGAGUUUGGCAUGGAUAAUAACCGGGUAUAAGGUAUCUACCGAAGCUAUGGAUUUUAUUAUGGUAGGGGAGCAUUCCAUUGUCGUUGAAUGUGAAGCGUGAGCUUUGCUGGAGAUUAUGGAAACGCAAAUGUAGGUAUAAGUAACGAUAAAGGGGGUGAGAAACCUCCUCGCCGAAAGACUCAGGAUUCCUGAUCAACGUUAAUCGGAUCAGGGUUAGUCGGGCACUAAGGAUAAGCCGAAGGGCGAUUCCGAUGUCAGAAUCGGUUAAUAUUCCGAUACUGGCUUUAUGAGUGACGUGGAGACGGAGAAGUGACAGUGUCGCCAACUGACGGAAUAGUUGGUUAAAGGGUGUAGACGUUGAUUGUGGCAGGCAAAUCCGCCGCGAGAGUUGAACCUGAUAGUACCGAGAGCCCUUGUGGCGAUCGGAUAGUACAUGUAAACAGGCUUCCAAGAAAAUCCGCUAAACAUAUCAUAGAGUCACCCGUACCUCAAACCGACACAGGUAGUUGGGUAGAGUAUACUAAGGCGCUCGAGUGAAUCACGGUUAAGGAACUAGGCAAAUUUGUCCUGUAACUUUGGGAGAAAGGACGCCACAGCGAUGUGGUCGCAGAGAAUUGGUCCAGGCGACUGUUUAGCAAAAACACAGGGCUAUGCUAAAUCGAAAGAUGCUGUAUAUGGCCUGACACCUGCCCGGUGCCGGAAGGUUAAGAGGAGAUGUUAUCGUGAGAGAAGCAUUGAAUUGAAGCCCCGGUAAACGGCGGCCGUAACUAUAACGGUCCUAAGGUAGCGAAAUUCCUUGUCGGGUAAGUUCCGACCUGCACGAAUGGUGUAACGAUCUGGACGCUGUCUCAACCGUGAUCUCGGUGAAAUUGUAGUAUCGGUGAAGAUGCCGAUUACCCGUAACGGGACGGAAAGACCCCGUGAACCUUUACUGCAGCUUAACAUUGAGUUUGGGUAUCAGAUGUGUAGGAUAGGCCGGAGACUGUGAAUCAGGUACGCUAGUACUUGUGGAGUCAUCCUUGAAAUACGGUCCUUUUGUUAUUUGAAUUCUAACCCGCGUUAUUUUGUGGGGACACUGUUUGGUGGGUAGUUUGACUGGGGUGGUCGCCUCCAAAAGAGUAACGGAGGCUCCUAAAGGUGCGUUCAGGCCGAUUGGUAACCGGUCGUAGAGUGUAAUGGCAUAAACGCGCUUGACUGAGAGACCUACAAGUCGAUCAGGUGGGAAACCAGAGCAUAGUGAUCCGGUGGUUCCGCAUGGAAGGGCCAUCGCUCAAAGGAUAAAAGGUACUCCGGGGAUAACAGGCUGAUCAUUCCCAAGAGCUCAUAUCGACGGAAUGGUUUGGCACCUCGAUGUCGGCUCGUCACAUCCUGGGGCUGGAGAAGGUCCCAAGGGUUGGGCUGUUCGCCCAUUAAAGUGGCACGCGAGCUGGGUUCAGAACGUCGUGAGACAGUUCGGUCCCUAUCUGUUAUGGGCGUAGGAAAUUUGAGGAGAUCUGACACUAGUACGAGAGGACCGUGUUGGACGAACCGCUGGUGUAUCGGUUGUUUCGCCAGGAGCACUGCCGAGUAGCUACGUUCGGACGGGAUAAGCGCUGAAAGCAUCUAAGCGCGAAGCCUACUUCAAGAUGAGAUUUCCCUUAAGGGUUGUGGUAGACUACCACGUUGAUAGGCUGCAGGUGUACAGGUGGUAACAUCAAAGCCGAGCAGUACUAAUUGCCCGUGACUUUUUUG
Molecule: ribosomal RNA, 2877 nt
Filed under: metagenome
Description: bacterial LSU rRNA
Rfam family: Bacterial large subunit ribosomal RNA
Source: RNAcentral